CAACAGGUUCAUAAAAACUUCUCUUUGCCUCACUUCUUUCAUUGCUCCUUUUCCCAGGCUACUUACCAAAUGGAAAGGACAAGCAACUUAAGGAAUUCAAAGCUCCAACAAUCCAAUAAGAAAACUGCAUCUCUGUGCAUGUGCUGAAGCAGCAGGGGUGAACAGGGCAUAGUGGUUAACCUUAACUCUGCGUUCUGGAUCACAGUUAGCAAUUCCUUUGACGUUCUGUUCCAUAAGUGAAGGUGAAGGGAAGAAAUUCAGUGCCUUCCCUCUGUCUGACUCAUCAUGGUGGAGAAGUUCUGACAUCAGAGUCCAGCCCCCCGGAAACAAAGCGCUGCGGCAGAUGCAGUUUGCCUUUAAAAGUGAGUCAGGUGGGUGUAGGAGGCAUGUGAUUGUUAAAAUAUAAUAAGCAAGCCACUCCCAAUUAGUAGGUAGCCCACUCUGUAGUCAGCUGUGAUAGGAGCAGAGAAACAGGAAACUUGAUGUCAGAGAGAUGAUGCAGCAGGAGUGUUUUUUUCUACCUGGGUACGUAAAGAGCUAAUUAAACUCAAAGUUCGUCUUCUGUUGUAUUAUCAUAUGAAUGAGAUGUAAAGAGAAAAUUAUGAGGAUGAGCUGACUACACAAUAAGAACUACUUCAGCUGUUCAUCUACACUGACAGACGUUCAGGGAAGGGUGAAGGUGAAGAGAGAAGAUCGUGACAAAUCCUCCAGUUAUUUCUAGUUCUGUCCUAAGUGACGUGUAGUGAUAGACCAAGGGGGAAUGGCUUUAAACUAAA
Molecule: long non-coding RNA, 776 nt
Filed under: Coturnix japonica (Japanese quail)
Lineage: Eukaryota; Metazoa; Chordata; Aves; Galliformes; Phasianidae
Description: lncRNA (ENSCJPG00005010470.1)
Source: RNAcentral